This 42-nucleotide small RNA is filed under the name Arabidopsis thaliana (thale cress). RNAcentral describes it as "ATSL012490". The record is from RNAcentral. Lineage: Eukaryota; Viridiplantae; Streptophyta; Magnoliopsida; Brassicales; Brassicaceae.
CCACUCCAGCAUCAUCUAUCCGUCCCCAGCCCGCAGCAGAGC